RNAcentral lists this ribosomal RNA (486 nucleotides) under uncultured Glomus. RNAcentral describes it as "SSU rRNA". It matches the Rfam family "Eukaryotic small subunit ribosomal RNA", at positions 562 to 1052 of the family's 1831-position model. Lineage: Eukaryota; Fungi; Glomeromycota; Glomeromycetes; Glomerales; Glomeraceae. The record is from RNAcentral.
UGGUGCCAGCAGCCGCGGUAAUUCCAGCUCCAAUAGCGUAUAUUAAAGUUGUUGCAGUUAAAAAGCUCGUAGUUGAAUUUCGGGGUUAGUAAGUUGGUCAUGCCUCCGGUAUGCACUGGCUUUACUGAUUCCUCCUUCUUGAUGAACUGUAAUGUCAUUAAUUUGGUGUUGCAGGGAAUCAGGACUGUUACUUUGAAAAAAUUAGAGUGUUUAAAGCAGGCAUACGCUUGAAUACAUUAGCAUGGAAUAAUGAAAUAGGACGUUUGAUCCUAUUUUGUUGGUUUCUAGGAUUGACGUAAUGAUUAAUAGGGAUAGUUGGGGGCAUCAGUAUUCAGUUGUCAGAGGUGAAAUUCUUGGAUUUAUUGAAGACUAACUACUGCGAAAGCAUUUGCCAAGGAUGUUUUCAUUAACCAAGAACGAAAGUUAGGGGAUCGAAGACGAUCAGAUACCGUCGUAGUCUUAACCAUAAACUAUGCCGACUAGGAU